This 253-nucleotide ribosomal RNA is filed under the name uncultured bacterium. RNAcentral describes it as "partial 16S ribosomal RNA". It matches the Rfam family "Bacterial small subunit ribosomal RNA", at positions 524 to 776 of the family's 1533-position model. The record is from RNAcentral.
UACGUAGGGGGCUAGCGUUGUCCGGAUUUAUUGGGCGUAAAGAGCGCGUAGGCGGCCGAGUAAGUCCGACGUGAAAUCUGGAGGCUCAACCUCCAGCGGUCGUUGGAAACUACUCGGCUAGAGUCCGGAAGAGGAGAGUGGAAUUCCUGGUGUAGCGGUGAAAUGCGUAGAUAUCUGGAGGAACACCGGUGGCGAAGGCGGCAUCCUGGACCAAUAUUGACGCUGAGGAGCGAAAGCCAGGGGAGCAAACGGG